GUUGUGAUCGUAUAGUGGUUAAUACUCUGCAUUGUGGCCUCAGAAACCCUAGUUCGAAUCUGGGUCAAGGCA
Molecule: transfer RNA, 72 nt
Filed under: Salmo salar (Atlantic salmon)
Lineage: Eukaryota; Metazoa; Chordata; Actinopteri; Salmoniformes; Salmonidae
Rfam family: tRNA
About the family: Transfer RNA (tRNA) molecules are approximately 80 nucleotides in length.
Source: Rfam by way of RNAcentral